RNAcentral lists this long non-coding RNA (266 nucleotides) under Elaeis guineensis (African oil palm). Its description in RNAcentral is "long non-coding RNA (EGUI_LNC069124)". The record is from RNAcentral. Lineage: Eukaryota; Viridiplantae; Streptophyta; Magnoliopsida; Arecales; Arecaceae.
GCCUAAUUAAAUUAGAUUUAAAUUAGUCUAAUUGGACCUAACUUAUUUGGUUCAAUUAGGUUGGUUUAAAUAAUGAAACCACCUUGACCCAAUCUCCAUGCGCCACCUCACUUCCAUUGCACCCAUUUGAAUUCAUGAGAAGAAACUUCUCAUGAAUUAUUUUCUCACGCCAAGCCCUCUCCACGCCCCACUUUAAUGUGCCAAAUGAAUGGAUAAGGAUGAUUGGUUGGCCAUUCAAAUUCAAAAUAAAGUUUGAAUUUGAAUGG